GAUGAACGCUGGCGGCGUGCCUAAUACAUGCAAGUCGAGCGAACGGACGAGAAGCUUGCUUCUCUGAUGUUAGCGGCGGACGGGAGUAACACGUGGAUAACCUACCUAUAAGACUGGGAUAACUUCGGGAAACCGGAGCUAAUACCGGAUAAUAUUUUGAACCGCAUGGUUCAAAAGUGAAAGACGGUCUUGCUGUCACUUAUAGAGGGAUCCGCGCUGCAUUAGCUAGUUGGUAAGGUAACGGCUUACCAAGGCAACGAUGCAUAGCCGGCCUGAGAGGGUGAUCGGCCACACUGGAACUGAGACACGGUCCAGACUCCUACGGGAGGCAGCAGUAGGGAAUCUUCCGCAAUGGGCGAAAGCCUGACGGAGCAACGCCGCGUGAGUGAUGAAGGUCUUCGGAUCGUAAAACUCUGUUAUUAGGGAAGAACAUAUGUGUAAGUAACUGUGCACAUCUUGACGGUACCUAAUCAGAAAGCCACGGCUAACUACGUG
Molecule: ribosomal RNA, 495 nt
Filed under: uncultured bacterium
Lineage: Bacteria
Description: partial 16S ribosomal RNA
Rfam family: Bacterial small subunit ribosomal RNA
Source: RNAcentral